This is a small nuclear RNA of Chrysolophus pictus (golden pheasant), 101 nucleotides long. Lineage: Eukaryota; Metazoa; Chordata; Aves; Galliformes; Phasianidae. The record is from Ensembl.
ACAUAUGUCAUGAAGCAUUUGAUAUUGGAAUGAUACAAAGAAGAUUAGCAUGGCCCCUGUUCUCGGAUGACAAGCAAAUUCAUGAAGAAUUCCAUAUAUUU